GCACCCUUCGGGGUUGCACACGAUAAAAUUGGAACGAUACAGAGAAGUUGGUUUUUACCGCCACGGCCAAUGAACCGCUUAGUAAUGUUUUUCCCACACCACCUAUAGCCUGCUAAUUACAUAAUCACACUGAUUAGCAUGGCCCCUGCACAAGGAUGACACACUUUUCCGGAGUGGUAGACCUACGGGUCUCAAUAUUUAU
RNAcentral lists this small nuclear RNA (202 nucleotides) under Paxillus involutus ATCC 200175. The record is from RNAcentral. Lineage: Eukaryota; Fungi; Basidiomycota; Agaricomycetes; Boletales; Paxillaceae.